GAUGAAGAACGCAGCGAAAUGCGAUAAGUAAUGUGAAUUGCAGAAUUCAGUGAAUCAUCGAAUCUUUGAACGCACAUUGCGCCCGCCAGUAUUCUGGCGGGCAUGCCUGUUCGAGCGUCAUUUCAACCAUCAAGCCCCCGGCUUGUGUUGGGGACCUGCGGCUGCCGCAGGCCCUGAAAACCAGUGGCGGGCUCGCUAGUCACUCCGAGCGUAGUAAUACAUCUCGCUCAGGGCGUGCUGCGGGUUCCGGCCGUUAAAAAGCCUUAUUUACCCAAGGUUGACCUCGGAUCAGGUAGGAAGACCCGCUGAACUUAAGAAUAUCAAUAAGCGGAGGA
RNAcentral lists this unclassified non-coding RNA (335 nucleotides) under soil metagenome. Its description in RNAcentral is "partial contains 5.8S ribosomal RNA, internal transcribed spacer 2, and large subunit ribosomal RNA". The stretch from base 1 to 120 matches the Rfam family "5.8S ribosomal RNA", at positions 35 to 154 of the family's 154-position model. The record is from RNAcentral.